UAUCACGAAGUGCCCAUCCAAUACCUGCAGGUUGGUUUGGAGAUAGCCAUGAACCAUCAACGAAGCAACAAUACGAAUUAGCUUGCUUAAGAAUUAAUUUGAGCUAUUCCAUUUUCUUUCAGACUUUGCACUUUCUUUGUUGCUUCCUGUUUAUGCUUUACGUCUAAUCCAUCCAUAUUCACAGCUUCGAACCACAAUUUACAGUCAAAGCAUGGCUUUACUUAUUACCUCCGGUAUUGCCCA
This is a long non-coding RNA of Arabidopsis thaliana (thale cress), 243 nucleotides long. RefSeq annotates it as other RNA. The transcript has a single exon. NCBI's taxonomy places the organism in Eukaryota, Viridiplantae, Streptophyta, Magnoliopsida, Brassicales, Brassicaceae. The record is from RefSeq.